AGGGCUAUAGCUCAGUUAGGUAGAGCACCUUACCGAGAAGGUCUACGGUUCGAGUCCGUAUAGCCCUA
Molecule: transfer RNA, 68 nt
Filed under: Vitis x champinii
Lineage: Eukaryota; Viridiplantae; Streptophyta; Magnoliopsida; Vitales; Vitaceae
Description: tRNA-Val
Rfam family: tRNA
About the family: Transfer RNA (tRNA) molecules are approximately 80 nucleotides in length. Their secondary structure includes four short double-helical elements and three loops (D, anti-codon, and T loops).
Source: RNAcentral